RNAcentral lists this unclassified non-coding RNA (331 nucleotides) under soil metagenome. Its description in RNAcentral is "partial contains 5.8S ribosomal RNA, internal transcribed spacer 2, and large subunit ribosomal RNA". The stretch from base 1 to 120 matches the Rfam family "5.8S ribosomal RNA", at positions 35 to 154 of the family's 154-position model. The record is from RNAcentral.
GAUGAAGAACGCAGCGAAAUGCGAUAAGUAAUGUGAAUUGCAGAAUUCAGUGAAUCAUCGAAUCUUUGAACGCACAUUGCGCCCCCUGGUAUUCCGGGGGGCAUGCCUGUUCGAGCGUCAUUUCACCACUCAAGCCUCGCUUGGUAUUGGGCAACGCGGUCCGCCGCGUGCCUCAAAUCGUCCGGCUGGGUCUUCUGUCCCCUAAGCGUUGUGGAAACUAUUCGCUAAAGGGUGUUCGGGAGGCUACGCCGUAAAACAACCCCAUUUCUAAGGUUGCCCUCGGAUCAGGUAGGGAUACCCGCUGAACUUAAGCAUAUCAAUAAGCGGAGGA